RNAcentral lists this ribosomal RNA (1003 nucleotides) under Anoplophora macularia. RNAcentral's name for it is "partial 16S ribosomal RNA". Lineage: Eukaryota; Metazoa; Arthropoda; Insecta; Coleoptera; Cerambycidae. The record is from RNAcentral.
UUUAAGAAUAUUAUUGUUAAUUUUAAAUUAAAUUUAAUUAAAAAAAAUAAUUAUUUUUUAGUAAAAAUAUGAAAAAAUUAGGUUAAUUAUAGAUUAUUAGUAUUGAGAAAGAAUUAUCUUUAAAAUUUAAAAAGAAGAAGGAAUUUUGUACCUUGUGUAUCAGGGUUUAUUAAAUUAUAUUUAAAUAGUAUUUUCUCGAAUUUAAAAGAGUUAAAAUAAUAUAAUUUUAUUGUAGAAUAAAUAUUUAAAAUAUUAUUUUUGAAAUGAAACGUUAUACGUUUUUAAUAUAUCUAGUUAUUUAAGAAAAAAAUUAAAUUUUAUUAUUAUUAAUAUAUAAUUAAUUUUAUAAUUAUAUAUUAUUAAUAUUUAAUUUAUAAAGGGAUAAGCUUUUAUAAAAAUUAUUAAAAUUUUAUAUUUUUAAAAAAAAUUAUAGGAUUAGUAGUUUCUAUUAUUAAAAUAAUGUUAUAGUUGAUUUUAUUUAAUUAUUAUUUAUAUAAAUUUUAAAUGGUUUAUUAAAUUAAAAAUUAUAAUUUAAUUAAAUUUUGAAAUAAUGAUAAAAUUAGUAAAAUAUAAUAUAAAAAUAGAUAAAAAGAUAAAGGUUAAAUAAAGGAAUUCGGCAAAAGAUUUUUCACCUGUUUAUUAAAAACAUGGCCUUUUGAUAAUAAUUUAAGGUCUGACCUGCCCACUGAGGUAUUUAAAGGCCGCGGUAAAUUGACCGUGCUAAGGUAGCAUAAUCACUAGUUUUUUAAAUGGAAGCUGGAAUGAAUGGUUGGAUGAAAAAAUAACUGUCUCUAUUUAAUUUAGAAUGAAUUUUAUUUUUAAGUAAAAAAGCUUACAUUUAUUUAAAAGACGAGAAGACCCUAUAGAGUUUUAUAAACAUUUAAAUUUUAGGUUUUUAGGAUUAUUAUUUUAUAAUUUAAAUUUUAUUUGAUUGGGGCGAUUGAAAAAUUUAAUUAACUUUUUUUAUGAAUUUUACAUAAAUUAAUGAGAAAUUGAUCCAUAA